GGAAGACUAUGCACUAUGAGAAAAGUAAGUCCAAAUAAACAAAUAAUACCCUCUGCGAAGCCUGCAAGCUGGAAGUACUGUGCUUUGACCAGACAUGUGCAGGCACAAGCUGGAUACGAUAGGACCCAGCUAUCUUUAUUUCUGGGCCAGUGAUCAAAAGGUGUUUCUCAAUAUGCAGGGCAGGCUCUUACCACCCACUGACUUCUCAGGGAAGAGCUGAACCUUCCGCAUUUGCAACCAGCAAGAAAACAAUAUCCAGAGAAGUGGCUCUGCAUAAAACUACCUUGAAGAGACUUCUUAUGGAACGCUAGCAAAGUUCAUUCCUGAAGAAACCCAUACACAGGUAACCUACAGAGACAACUACAAACAUGGAAAUAAAAAGCAAAGACCAUCAUGAGACAAGUCUUUGCCAUUCUGAAGCAGUACAGUAGUGAAUUGUAUAUAGUCAUCAGAUUGGGAAAACACAUUCUGAACCACUGCUUAUCAAGAAAGAUGAAGUCAGGCUCAGAAGAGACCAACUGGAAUCAGACAAUUGGAUAUUAAGUUCAAUGCAUUUGUUGUUUUUCUGAUCUGGCCAACAGCAGCUGACAGCUGAACAGCAAGAACAGAGAGCUGGCGCAGAAGGGUGACUGGGCUAUUGCUGACAACCAGUUCUUGAAUCAGAUCACACCAGUAGAGAAUACUGAUGCCUUCAACAGGC
RNAcentral lists this long non-coding RNA (700 nucleotides) under Coturnix japonica (Japanese quail). RNAcentral's name for it is "lncRNA (ENSCJPG00005018367.1)". Lineage: Eukaryota; Metazoa; Chordata; Aves; Galliformes; Phasianidae. The record is from RNAcentral.